Long non-coding RNA from Cyprinus carpio (common carp), 164 nucleotides. RefSeq lists it as uncharacterized. The transcript has 3 exons. Lineage: Eukaryota; Metazoa; Chordata; Actinopteri; Cypriniformes; Cyprinidae. The record is from RefSeq and is a predicted model, not a curated record.
GCAGCGAGAGGUGUGAGCAGUCAGAAAGAGAAACAGAGACUACUGAAAAGCCUAAAGAUGACAGCCUGUACAGGAGUGCAGGAGUCUUUUUAACAGUCCGCAGAGAUAACUUCAUAGACCAGAACACAGUCCAGCGCUGCCAUCAAGAGUCUGUAGAGGAUGAC